RNAcentral lists this transfer RNA (95 nucleotides) under Klenkia taihuensis. Its description in RNAcentral is "tRNA-Cys". Lineage: Bacteria; Bacillati; Actinomycetota; Actinomycetes; Geodermatophilales; Geodermatophilaceae. The record is from RNAcentral.
UGCAGCUGCUGGUCUACGCGGCGCUGUCCUCGGGGCUGCAGACCCCGCUGCCGCUGCACGUCGAGGUGGGCUGGUUCGUCGCCGGCGGGCUGUGG